Molecule: ribosomal RNA, 490 nt
Filed under: uncultured bacterium
Lineage: Bacteria
Description: partial 16S ribosomal RNA
Rfam family: Bacterial small subunit ribosomal RNA
Source: RNAcentral
AUUGAACGCUGGCGGCAGGCCUAACACAUGCAAGUCGAACGGUAACAGGAAGCAGCUUGCUGCUUCGCUGACGAGUGGCGGACGGGUGAGUAAUGUCUGGGAAACUGCCUGAUGGAGGGGGAUAACUACUGGAAACGGUUGCUAAUACCGCAUAACGUCGCAAGACCAAAGAGGGGGACCUUAGGGCCUCUUGCCAUCGGCUGUGCCCAGAUGGGAUUAGCUAGUGGGUGGGGUAACGGCUCACCUAGGCGACGAUCCCUAGCUGGUCUGAGAGGAUGACCAGCCACACUGGAACUGAGACACGGUCCAGACUCCUACGGGAGGCAGCAGUGGGGAAUAUUGCACAAUGGGCGCAAGCCUGAUGCAGCCAUGCCGCGUGUAUGAAGAAGGCCUUCGGGUUGUAAAGUACUUUCAGCGGGGAGGAAGGGAGUAAAGUUAAUACCUUUGCUCAUUGACGUUACCCGCAGAAGAAGCACCGGCUAACUCCGUG